UAGAAGUUACUUCGGUACAUCGGUGACAGGUUGGUGCAUGGUUGUCGUCAGCUCGUGUCGUGAGAUGUUGGGUUAAGUCCCGCAACGAGCGCAACCCCUAUUGUUAGUUGCCAUCAUUCAGUUGGGCACUCUAGCGAGACUGCCGGUAAUAACGGAGGAAGGUGGGGAUGACGUCAAAUCAUCAUGCCCCUUAUGACCUGGGCUACACACGUGCUACAAUGGUUGGUACAACGAGUUGCGAGUCGGUGACGGCGAGCUAAUCUCUUAAAGCUAAUCUCAGUUCGGAUUGUAGGCUGCAACUCGCCUACAUGAAGUCGGAAUCGCUAGUAAUCGUGUCUCAAAUGGCACGGUGAAUAUGUCCCUGCUCCUU
This 370-nucleotide ribosomal RNA is filed under the name uncultured Streptococcus sp. RNAcentral's name for it is "bacterial SSU rRNA". It matches the Rfam family "Bacterial small subunit ribosomal RNA", at positions 1009 to 1382 of the family's 1533-position model. Lineage: Bacteria; Bacillati; Bacillota; Bacilli; Lactobacillales; Streptococcaceae. The record is from RNAcentral.